GGGAUUGCCUCAGUAACGGCGAGUGAAGCGGCAAUAGCUCAAAUUUGAAAUCUGGCCCCGUGGCCCGAGUUGUAAUUUGUAGAGAGUGUUUCGGGUGAGACCACGGUUUAAGUCCAUUGGAACAUGGCGUCAUAGAGGGUGAGAAUCCCGUAUGUGACUGUGGCUCGAACCCAUGUGAAGCCUCUUCGACGAGUCGAGUUGUUUGGGAAUGCAGCUCAAAAUGGGUGGUAAAUUUCAUCUAAAGCUAAAUACUGGCUGGAGACCGAUAGCGCACAAGUAGAGUGAUCGAAAGAUGAAAAGCACUUUGGAAAGAGAGUCAAACAGUACGUGAAAUUGUUGAAAGGGAAGCGCUUGCAACCAGACCUGUGCGUAGGUGAUCAGCCGCUGUUCUCAGUGGUGCACUCGCUCUGCGAUCAGGCCAGCAUCGGUUUCGGCGGUCGGAUAAAGGCCUUGGGAAUGUAGCUUCCCUUCGGGGGAGUCUUAUAGCCCUCGGUGCAAUGCGGCCAGCCGGGACCGAGGACCGCGCUUCGGCUAGGAUGCUGGCGUAAUGGUUGUAA
RNAcentral lists this ribosomal RNA (557 nucleotides) under Montanelia panniformis. Its description in RNAcentral is "eukaryotic LSU rRNA". It matches the Rfam family "Eukaryotic large subunit ribosomal RNA", at positions 71 to 643 of the family's 3401-position model. The record is from RNAcentral. Lineage: Eukaryota; Fungi; Ascomycota; Lecanoromycetes; Lecanorales; Parmeliaceae.